Molecule: ribosomal RNA, 311 nt
Filed under: uncultured bacterium
Lineage: Bacteria
Description: bacterial SSU rRNA
Rfam family: Bacterial small subunit ribosomal RNA
Source: RNAcentral
GAGUUUGAUCGUGGCUCAGGAUGAACGCUGGCGGCGUGCUUAACACAUGCAAGUCGAACGAAGCACUUUACUUGAUUUUCUUCGGAAUUGAUUGUACUGUGACUGAGUGGCGGACGGGUGAGUAACGCGUGGAUAACCUGCCUCACACAGGGGGAUAACAGCUGGAAACGGCUGCUAAUACCGCAUAAGCGCACAGCACCGCAUGGUGCAGUGUGAAAAACUCCGGUGGUAUGAGAUGGACCCGCGUCUGAUUAGCUAGUUGGAGGGUAACGGCCCACCAAGGCGACGAUCAGUAGCCGGCCUGAGAGGGU